GAUGAAGAACGUAGCGAAAUGCGACAAGUAAUGUGAAUUGCAGAAUUCAGUGAAUCAUCGAAUCUUUGAACGCACCUUGCACCCUUUGGCAUUCCGAAGGGUAUGCUCGUUUGAGUGUCAUUGUACCCUCACUCUCCCGAUCUUUGGAUCGGGAGUGGUGGACUUGGGUGUUGCUGCUUUACCGUGGCUCACCUCAAAUGGAUUCGUGCAACUCCUGGUUGGACAUAGUACGGCGUGAUAAGUGUCUUCGCCGGCACCUCACUAGAGGGUGGCUGACCGGGAGCUCUGUGCUUCAAACCGUCUUCGGACAACAACUGACAACUUGACCUCAAAUCGAGUAGGACCACCCGCUGAACUUAAGCAUAUCAAUAAGCGGAGGA
RNAcentral lists this unclassified non-coding RNA (380 nucleotides) under soil metagenome. RNAcentral's name for it is "partial contains 5.8S ribosomal RNA, internal transcribed spacer 2, and large subunit ribosomal RNA". The stretch from base 1 to 120 matches the Rfam family "5.8S ribosomal RNA", at positions 35 to 154 of the family's 154-position model. The record is from RNAcentral.